AAUCAACGCUGGCGGCGUGCCUCAGACAUGCAAGUCGAACGCGAAAGUUUCCUUCGGGGAACAAGUAGAGUGGCGCACGGGUGAGUAACACGUAGGUAAUCUACCUUUGGAUGGGGAAUAACAGCCGGAAACGGUUGCUAAUACCGCAUAAUGCAGCGGCACCUAAUGGUGACAGUUGUUAAAGCGGGGGAUCGAAAGACCUCGCGUCUGAAGAGGAGCCUGCGGCGGAUUAGCUAGUGGUAAGGUAAUGGCUUACCAAGGCUUCGAUCCGUAGCCGGCCUGAGAGGGCGGUCGGCCACACUGACACUGACAUACGGGUCAGACUCCUACGGGAGGCAGCAGUCGGGAAUUUUGGG
Molecule: ribosomal RNA, 356 nt
Filed under: uncultured bacterium
Lineage: Bacteria
Description: bacterial SSU rRNA
Rfam family: Bacterial small subunit ribosomal RNA
Source: RNAcentral